RNAcentral lists this ribosomal RNA (436 nucleotides) under uncultured bacterium. RNAcentral's name for it is "bacterial SSU rRNA". It matches the Rfam family "Bacterial small subunit ribosomal RNA", at positions 28 to 473 of the family's 1533-position model. The record is from RNAcentral.
GACGAACGCUUGCGGCGUGCCUAAGAAAUGCAAGUCGAGCGGGGGAGCAAUCCCUAGCGGCGAACGGUCGCGUAACACGUAAGCAACCUGCCCGAAAGACCGGGACAACAGCUCGAAAGGGCUGCUAAUACCGGAUGUGUCCACUUUCUCUCAUGAGUUAGUGAGUAAAUCAUUUAUGGCUUUCGGAGGGGCGUUGCGGCCUAUCAGCUAGAUGGCGGUGUAACGGACCACCANGGCGACGACGGGUAGCUGGUCUGAGAGGAUGGCCAGCCACAUUGGGACUGAGAUACGGCCCAGACUCCUACGGGAGGCAGCAGUGGGGAAUCUUGCGCAAUGGGCCUAACGGCUGACGCAGCGACGCCGCGUGUGGGAUGAAGCUCUUCGGAGUGUAAACCACUGUUGCCCGGGACGAAUAGCUCGAUUAAUCGAGCCUGAC